Molecule: long non-coding RNA, 363 nt
Filed under: Amborella trichopoda
Lineage: Eukaryota; Viridiplantae; Streptophyta; Magnoliopsida; Amborellales; Amborellaceae
Description: long non-coding RNA (ATRI_LNC003005)
Source: RNAcentral
CCGCAUCGUACGGAGUGGGGUUCAAGCAAAGUGCCCUAAUCUUGGAGGCCAAACCCUGGGCUGCGGCCAUGAACAAUUUAGAGAGAGAAAGUGCAGCUCCAAGAAUGUAUGCGUCCGGCAAGGUGAUUGAAGAAGUAGAAGCUCUAACAUGAUGAGAGAAAAACCUUACUUUUGGGAGGCUUAACUAUGAGAGGGAAAAACCCCAAUUAAAGAACUUGGCAAGACGCUAGUGUACCUAGUUAAGGCAAAGCAACAAAGAAAACUGAAGAAGAAGCCAUGGCCAUUGUUGCGUCUCUCUCUCUAACUGGGGUCCCUAAGAAGUAGGCCAUUGCUCCGUUUUGGCCGUAUGUAAAUUUCCCUCAA